CCUACGGGGGACAGCAGUGAGGAAUAUUGGUCAAUGGCCGUAAGGCUGAACCAGCCAAGUCGCGUGAAGGAAGAAGGAUCUAUGGUUUGUAAACUUCUUUUAUAGGGGAAUAAAGGGAGCCACGUGUGGAUAUUUGCAUGUACCCUAUGAAUAAGCAUCGGCUAACUCCGUGCCAGCAGCCGCGGUAAGACGGAGGAGGCGAGCGUUAUCCGGAUUUAUUGGGUUUAAAGGGUGCGUAGGUUGUUUUUUAAGUCAGCGGUGAAAGUUUGUGGCUCAACCAUAAAAUGGCCGUUGAAACUUGCAGACUUGAGUGUGUUUGAGGUCGGCGGACUGCGUUGUGUAGCGGU
This 347-nucleotide ribosomal RNA is filed under the name uncultured bacterium. RNAcentral describes it as "partial 16S ribosomal RNA". It matches the Rfam family "Bacterial small subunit ribosomal RNA", at positions 338 to 682 of the family's 1533-position model. The record is from RNAcentral.